CCUACGGGUGACAGCAGUAGGGAAUAUUGCUCAAUGGGGGAAACCCUGAAGCAGCAACGCCGCGUGGAGGAUGAAGGUUUUCGGAUUGUAAACCUCUUUAGGCGGGGAGCAAUGCCGGGCACGUGUGCCCGGAGGGAGAGUACCCGCAGAAUAAGCAUCGGCUAACUCCGUGCCAGCAGCCGCGGUAAUACGGAGGAUGCGAGCGUUAUCCGGAUUUAUUGGGUUUAAAGGGUGCGUAGGCGGAUUUUUAAGUCAGCGGUAAAAUGUCCGGGCUCAACCCGGGCCGGCCGUUGAAACUGGGGAUCUUGAGUGGGCGAGAAGUAUGCGGAAUGCGUGGUGUAGCGGUGAAAUGCAUAGAUAUCACGCAGAACUCCGAUUGCGAAGGCAGCAUACCGGCGCCCGACUGACGCUGAGGCACGAAAGCGUGGGGAUCGAACAGGAUUAGAUACCCUAGUAGUC
Molecule: ribosomal RNA, 459 nt
Filed under: uncultured bacterium
Lineage: Bacteria
Description: partial 16S ribosomal RNA
Rfam family: Bacterial small subunit ribosomal RNA
Source: RNAcentral